Molecule: RNA transcript, 2316 nt
Organism: Orcinus orca (killer whale)
Lineage: Eukaryota; Metazoa; Chordata; Mammalia; Artiodactyla; Delphinidae
Gene name: centrosomal protein of 78 kDa-like
Exons: 5
Source: RefSeq, a predicted model, not a curated record
GCUUAAACCCCAGCCGCGCGGCGUGCAGAGCGUUGAUGCCGGCGCUAAAACCAGACCAAGGGGGGCUCCAGAGCGCGGCAUGGAGGGGCUGGCCUAGCUGAGGCCCGUGACCCGAUGUCUUCUGGCUGCGACGCCGGUCCUGCGUACACUGCGGGGCCGCAGCCGCGGGGCGGUGGGCGCCCGAGGGGCCGGGAGGCGAGCCGGGGCCUCCAGGAGGGUGUGGGCAUCGUGUCCUCAGCCAGCGUCUCCGAGGCUGCGCUCGGGCCAUGAUCAUUCGGUGAAGCUGCGCCGGGACAGUGCGGCCGACUUCUUCUCGCGCUCUGAGGACCUGUGCGCGCUGCAGGGCUCGGUGCCUCUGCCCGCCGUGCGCGCUUCCCUGCGGAAGGCCCUGCUGGAGUUAAGGCCUCCGCGGGGUAGACUGGGUGCCGCUCCUGAGCACCCUCUGCCCCUGAUCUGUAUCUAGAGCUUCUUCCAGCCACGGCUUGGCGAGACAGGUUGUGGCAGAAAUAAAGUUUACAGAAGUUGUGUUCCUGCGAUAAGAAAUACAGAUGUGACCUUGCAGUUGUGUAAAGCUCUUAAUUGCUGUGUAAGUGCGUCAGUGCGCUAAGGAACCUGGAGCUAAAUGGGCUAGUUCUGAGAGAGAGAGACUUAACUAUGUUAACAAAGGUCCAUCAGAAUUUCCUGUGACUGUGACAGUAGAGAGUCCUUCCUCCUCAGAAAAUGAAGAGGUCAAUGAGUCCUCAGAAAGUGUUCAGGAAGAGCCAGAGAAAAUGAGUUUGAAACAAGAAGCAUUGCCGGGACAAAGUUAUCACUUGAAAGCUAUAGAGAAGAUUAUCUUUCAAACGGAAGCCUGAUUGCAAUACGGCAAAGCUUGUGUGAGGGUUCUGUUUUCUCUUCCCGUCUGCAUUGUAUCCCCUUGAAUGGUUCCUUAAGCUUAGACCAGGGUGAAUGGUGGACAUUUGAACUCUAGGAAAUAAAAAUCAAAACAUGUCAUUAGUAAUAUAUUUUCCUUUCCUUAGAACCUUAGUAUAUUAGAUUUAGGGAGAACCUUAGUGAUCAUAAGAUAAAGAAAUUGAGUUCUGAAUGAAUGUAGUCAGCUGAUUCAGUGCUCUUGUUUUACAGGUGAGAAAAUUGACAGUUCUAGUUGAACUCUCUUUUUACAAGAGGAAAAUAUGGCCUCAUUUUAAAUAAAAGUAAAGUUGAAAAAAGUUUUCAUGUUGCUAUUCUCCUUUCCUAAAAUAAAAAAUAUCAAGAAGCUACAUUCUGUUACCAAAUAAACCUGACCUCUAAUGUCAUUCCAUACUUUUGUUUGUAUGGACAGAAAAGAAAAAUUGAUUUUCAUAAGAAAUUUUUGCACCUAGAAAAUAAUAUAUUUAUUUUAUUUCAACUUUAAUGAAGAGCUGAACAUUUCUAGUAAAUAAAGGAACACCAUUUGUGGGGGACCUUGUCUUUGUGCUACAAAGUGCAUGUUUAAUUUUUAAAAAUUAUUUAAUAUGAUUUUCUUUUCGUAUGAAACAUGAAACUUGACCGGUUUCAGAACUAAUUAUCCCAUUAUUGUAGGACUAUGACAGUUAACUCUUUGAUUUUCAAAAGUUAGAUUUUUAUUUUUUUAAGUAAAAUUAAUGAUAAUAUAGAGAAAUUUUAAGAAAAAACUUAGAAAAUUAUGAAAUGUUAGAGUAGGAGAAAUCUAUAGUUCAUGUAGACCCCCCCUCUUUCAUUUUAUAAAUGAGCACCUACAAUUUUUAGCACAUAAGUGGUUUAUUAGUAAAUGGCAGAGUACGACAAGACCCUAGAGCAUCUAAGCGCCUUCCUUGUCAUUUUAGAUGUGCUGUAUUCAUUUCCUUCAUGAGUAGACCAGGAGGUUGUAUUUCUAGUAGUAAUGAUAGACACUGGGGAAGACCAAGAAGUUUACACACUGGGACCACAGAAUAGCAGAUUCAGAAUGCACUGAGAACGCUUUCAGCUCUUCUCUGUUUUGCCAAGACACUACAAGGAUGGUAUCAAUGUGUUUAAGUAUAUAAGCCCACAACAAUCAAGAGAUUUCAACAUAGUUUUGAAAGACGGAAGACAAGUGGAAGAGUGUGAAACUGAAGCAGUAGAACAGAGGAAAAGCAUCACCUAGAGUAUGCACAGGGACCACCUGCAACUGAGGAGGAUUCUGACCCCACCUGAAGAAGCUUGGGCAGCUGGCCACAAUGGCUGGUAUAGAUCAGUCAGAUUUUCAUUUACUAGGUCAUCCCGAGAUGAAUUCUACUGUUAGUAGUCCACGUAAAGAAGAAAAGAAGGCACUUGAAGAAGAAAAAUCAGAAUCAAAAC